UGAUAUUAUCAUUCCUAAGAUAGUCCUAUUUAGCCAUCUUUAGCUCCCGGUUUUAUUUAGGACUAUCCAAACAACAAAAUGCUUC
This is a non-coding RNA of Candidatus Pelagibacter ubique HTCC1002, 85 nucleotides long. The record is from Rfam. NCBI's taxonomy places the organism in Bacteria, Pseudomonadati, Pseudomonadota, Alphaproteobacteria, Candidatus Pelagibacterales, Candidatus Pelagibacteraceae.